This 72-nucleotide transfer RNA is filed under the name Ictidomys tridecemlineatus (thirteen-lined ground squirrel). Its description in RNAcentral is "Spermophilus tridecemlineatus (thirteen-lined ground squirrel) tRNA". It matches the Rfam family "tRNA". From Rfam's summary of the family: Transfer RNA (tRNA) molecules are approximately 80 nucleotides in length. Their secondary structure includes four short double-helical elements and three loops (D, anti-codon, and T loops). Lineage: Eukaryota; Metazoa; Chordata; Mammalia; Rodentia; Sciuridae. The record is from Rfam by way of RNAcentral.
UGGGGUAUAGCUCAGUGGUAGAGCACUUGCCUGGCAUAUGUGAGGCCCUGGGUUCAAUCCCCAGCAUCAUAU